This 519-nucleotide ribosomal RNA is filed under the name uncultured eukaryote. Its description in RNAcentral is "SSU rRNA". It matches the Rfam family "Eukaryotic small subunit ribosomal RNA", at positions 1161 to 1699 of the family's 1831-position model. The record is from RNAcentral.
AGGGCACCACCAGGAGUGGAGCCUGCGGCUUAAUUUGACUCAACACGGGGAAACUUACCCGGCCUGGACACUGGAAGGAUUGACAGAUUGAGAGCUCUUUCUUGAUUCAGUGGGUGGUGGUGCAUGGCCGUUCUUAGUUGGUGGAGCGAUUUGUCUGGUUAAUUCCGAUAACGAACGAGACUCUAGCCUAUUAAAUAGGCUCUCGGCUUUUAAACGCCGGGAGGACUUCUUAGAGGGACAGGUGGCGGUUCAGCCGCACGAAAGAGAGCAAUAACAGGUCUGUGAUGCCCUUUGUUGUCCGGGGCCGCACGCGCGCUACGCUGAAGAGAUCAGCGUGCUUUACGUUCCUGCUCCGACCGGAGUGGGGAACCCAGUGAACCUUCUUCGUGAUUGGGAUAGAAGAUUGUAAUUAUUCUUCUUGAACGAGGAAUUCCCAGUAAAUGCGAGUCAUAAGCUCGCGUUGAUUACGUCCCUGCCCUUUGUACACACCGCCCGUCGCUACUACCGAUUGAACGAUUU